Long non-coding RNA from Colias croceus (clouded yellow), 417 nucleotides. RefSeq lists it as uncharacterized. The record is from RefSeq and is a predicted model, not a curated record. NCBI's taxonomy places the organism in Eukaryota, Metazoa, Arthropoda, Insecta, Lepidoptera, Pieridae. The transcript is spliced from 2 exons.
AUAGACCCAAUGACGAUACCUUUCUCACUUACACAAGAAAGAGAGCGAAAAUACCAUAACAAAUGCAUAAGACAAAGACACAAAUACCCAAUUUUUUGUCCCUUAGUGUGUAACCUGUUUUUCAAGAUCCGCAACUUGAGUUGCGAAACAAACUUUGACAGUUCGUGCCUUCAUCGUGUUUGGUGUUCGAAUUUUGGAUAUUAUUUAGUAAAAAAUCGAUACGAGUACAUUGAAAAGACGGUGAAAUUAUCUAAAUAUAGACAUCGAAGUAAAUAGAAUGGUGCGUUGUCGUGUUAUUGCAUGUAUAAGCGAUAGUGAGAAGAAAAUUGCCGGUGUGUCUUUUCACGCAUGAUCCAGACCUACGUAAUUAAUGGAUCGAAGUGGUAGAAAAGAUUGGAUUCUCACAAAAUAUUGUAA